CAAAAUUAUUAAAUCCUAAGAGAAAUAGAAAGGAUGAAGUAUUGGCACAUUCAAGAACAAUGAGAGAAAGGGUAAUAACAAGAUUUAGAAUUAGUGCAGCAUGAUGUGUUUUACAUUUAAUUUUUUUUUAUGCGAUCUGUUGGAUUUUAUUUUAGUUUAGUUUAGCUAGGUAGAUUAUUAAUUACACAAAAUUAAGAAAAAGAUAUAUGAAGUAUACAUAUGUAUGAUACUAUUGGAAUUCAUUGGUGUGCUUGUCAAAAAAGAAAAAAG
Molecule: unclassified non-coding RNA, 270 nt
Filed under: Hevea brasiliensis (rubber tree)
Lineage: Eukaryota; Viridiplantae; Streptophyta; Magnoliopsida; Malpighiales; Euphorbiaceae
Source: RNAcentral